GGUUUUUUUUCGUUUUGUUUUGUUUUUUGUUUUGGAACAAGGUCUAUGUGCAUUAAGAUGUCGGAACCUCUGAGCUUUAGGGUGGGAAAAAAACCCCUCAGGUUUUCAUGAUACGGUCCUUGCCUCCCUUCUAGCCCUAUGUCUUGAACAUCAACUAGUCUUAUUACACUUUAAAUCCCACUGAGCUACUCAUUUCUCCUUGGUACUAUCAAAGCCACUUAGACACACUUCCACGAACAAGCACUUUCACUUUUAAUUGUCUGGCUCCCCACUAGUUUUUGAGCCUCUUUAAGGUCUGGGCUAUAUCUUAUUCAUCUCAAUAUGUCUAGCAUAAGGAGAUGAAUAAAUAUUGGUUAACUAAAUGUGCUGGUUUAUUUAAAAAACUAAUCUUAUGACUCUUUUUUGUCUUGGGCACAUAGCUGCAGACUUUCUCACAGAACAUCACUACAGUGUUACAUUUCUAAUGUGGAUAUUAUAAUAAAGUUGGCAGUGGGCAUGUUCAUGUAAGAACUAUUUUAAUGGCUGAAAAGUUUAACUUUAUGUCCCUGUCAUGUACAAGGACAGUGACAGGAUCCUUGGUUGGAUCAGAAAUGCAGCUUUUCCCCUGAGUUUCAGGAUGUGCAUAAAGAAGGAAAUGAUGUUUUCUUUAGCUCACGUGUGUAUGUGUGUAUGCAUGCACACACAGAGCUUAGUCCCUGGUGGGUAAUAUUCAAAAAGUACUCUGCCUCAGUGGAAGAAGUACAGACUUAAAGAUCAAAGUAUUACACACAGAGCACAACAACCUGGCCAAAACUCUAGUUCCUUCUUUGUUGGGGAUCAUCAAAUGGUUGUUUUUAACAUGGUUAAAACAUACUUUUCAAGUGUUUGUUUGAAAACAUUUAUUUAGUCUUUCAGACAUUCUCAGAGCUAUUCCUUGGUUGAUAAAACCACUUCCUGCUAGUCUGAGAUUGGAAUGUUUUGAGCAGGGGAAGAAAGGCAUAAAAUUAGGAUGAAAAAGAACAGGGGCCAGAUCACGUAGGGCCAUUUAGGCUUUUAAAGAUUACAGAGUUUAUCCUAAGAGGAGUGGGAAGCCACUGAAGGAUUUUAAACAGGGGAAAUGCCAAACGCCAUGAUCCAAUUUGCAUUUUAAAAAGACAACACUGACCAAAAAACAUGAAAUACUUAGGCUUAAGUCUAACAAAAUAUGUGCAAGACGCACAAUCUCUAUGCAGAAAACUACAAAACGCUGAUAAAAAGUAUCAAAGUCUUAACAUAAAUGGAGAGAGAUACCAAGUUCUCUCAGUACUCUUAAGGUGCCAAUUUUCCCCAAAUUGCUCUGUAGAUUCAACAUAAUUCUAAAAAAAAUCCAAGCAGGAAGUUUUUGUAGAAAUCAACAAGCUAAUUCUAAAAUUUAUUCAGAAAGGCAAAGGAACUAGAUUAGCCAAAGCAAUUUCAAAAAAGAACAAAGUUGGAGGACUCACAUUACCUGAUUUCAAGACUUAGCAUAAAGCUACAGUAAUCCUGACAAUGGGUUAUUGGCCAAGGAUAGAAAAAUAAAUGGGAGAAUGGGGCCAGCAAAUACCAGCUCAUAGGCCAAAUCUAGCCUGUCGCCUGCUUUUAGAUGUCCCUAAGCUAAUGGUGCUUUUAAAAAUUUUAAAUGAUUGAAAAAUUCAAGAGAAUGGUAUUUUGUGACAAGUGAAGAUUAUACGAAAUCCCAAAUAGAGUGCCCAUAAAUAAAGCUCUACUGGAACAUAGCCAGGCUCAUUUGUUUCCAUAUUGUCUCUGGUGGCUUUGUGCUAUGAUGCAGAGUUGAGCAGUUCUGACAGACUGCAUGUGGCGCUCUCAUCAUUUUGCAGGGCUUUUUAAGCACUCGACAAACUGGGGCGUUUCUACUGCUACAUGUAUCACCCAUGCGAAAAGAUAUUUUUCAGAGAUAAAAAUAUGUCAAGUUUCACUACACAUAUGCAUUAAUAAAUGAAAUCUGUAAUCACAUUUGAUGAGAGGAAACACUAACUUAGCACCCUAGUUAAGCAAAAUGUUAUCCCUCUCCCAGAAAAGAAUUCCAUUCUUUGGAUUAGUAGAGCUGCAUUUCAGAAAAUUGUACUUAAUUAUUAUACUUUAAAUUUUAUUUAAAAAAUUCUCAGAAAUAUGUUUUAUCUUAUUAUACAAGUACUUACACAGUAUCUUCAAUUUUGCCUUUUGGUCUGUAAAACCUAAAAUAUUUACGAUCUAGUUCUUUACAGAAAAAUUCUGCUGACCCCUGACAUAGAUCAAAACAGACACAGAACAAGGAGAGUCCAGAAAUAGGACUGUGCAAACACAGGCAACUGAUAUUUGCCUACAGCAAUGAAAAUUCUUUUCAACAAAUGUGCUAAACAAUUAGAUAUUCAUAAGCAACAAAGAAACUUCAUUCAUACCACACACCUCAUACACAAAAAUUAACUCAAAAUGGAUCAUAGAUCUAAGUAUAAAAUGCAAAGCUAUAAUACUUUUAGGAGGAAAAAAAUGGGAGAAAAUCUUUGUGACCCUGAGUUAGGCUGAGUUCUCAGAUCAACACAAAAAGCCUGAUCCAUUUAAAAAGACAAUUUGGAUUUUAUUAAGAUUAAAAAUGUUUGCUCUGACAAAGAUACUGAUAAAAGAAUGAAGACAAGCUACAGAUGAAGAAUUUUUGCAAGUAAAUAUCUGACAAAGGACUUUGUAUCCUGAAUAUAUGAAGAACUUCCAAAAUUCAAUGAAAGAAAACAAAUCUGAUGUUUUUUCUUAAAGGCAAAAAGUUUGAGCAGAGAUAUAUGGAUUGCAUAUAAACUUGUGAAAGGAGCUAAAUAUCCUUAGUCAUACAGAAAUGCACAUUGAAACUACACUGAGCUACCACUAUGCCUCCCCUAGAAUGGUUACAGUUAAAGCAAAAAUGAAAAGCGAUGCUAGGGAGAAUGUGGUAACAAGUGAAAUUCACAUGGCACUGAUGGGAAUGUAGAUGGCACAGCCCCUCUGGAAAAGAGUUUGGUAGUUUCUUAUAAAGUUAAAUGUAAGCUUUCCAUGGGGCCCAGCAGUCUUACCCCUAGAUAUUUACCCAAGAUAAAUGAAAAGUUAUAUUUACACUAAAGCAUGUACACAAAGGUUUAUAGGCAAAAACUGGAAUAAUCCAAAUGUACGGUGGUGGUUAGAUGACUACAUCCAUUUGUCAAAAUUCAUUGAAUUUGACACUAAAAAAAGAUUUAUUACUGUACAUAAAUCAAACCUCAAUAACAUAUGACUCAAAAAACAAGACAGCUUUGGUUGUUAUAUGGAAAAUAAAUUGGGGGAAACACGACAGGAAUCCAGGAGGCUGUUCAAAGGGCCACUGUGAGCAAAAUAAGAUAUGAUGAGGACCUGGAUUAGGAUGGGGCAUCAGGGAAGCCAGAGAAACGUAGAUGCAUGAAUGAUUAGAUUC
RNAcentral lists this long non-coding RNA (3409 nucleotides) under Canis lupus familiaris (dog). RNAcentral describes it as "lncRNA (ENSCAFG00845021722.1)". The record is from RNAcentral. Lineage: Eukaryota; Metazoa; Chordata; Mammalia; Carnivora; Canidae.